AAUAGAUACCCAGGUAGUCCACGCCGUAAACGUUGGGCGCUAGAUGUGGGGACCUUUCCACGGUUUCCGUGUCGUAGCUAACGCAUUAAGCGCCCCGCCUGGGGAGUACGGCCGCAAGGCUAAAACUCAAAGGAAUUGACGGGGGCCCGCACAAGCGGCGGAGCAUGCGGAUUAAUUCGAUGCAACGCGAAGAACCUUACCAAGGCUUGACAUGCACGAGAACGGGCCAGAAAUGGUCAACUCUUUGGACACUCGUGAACAGGUGGUGCAUGGUUGUCGUCAGCUCGUGUCGUGAGAUGUUGGGUUAAGUCCCGCAACGAGCGCAACCCUCGUCGCAUGUUGCCAGCACGUUAUGGUGGGGACUCAUGUGAGACUGCCGGGGUCAACUCGGAGGAAGGUGGGGAUGACGUCAAAUCAUCAUGCCCCUUAUGUCUUGGGCUUCACGCAUGCUACAAUGGCCGGUACAAAGGGCUGCGAUGUCGUAAGGCGGAGCGAAUCCCAAAAAGCCGGUCUCAGUUCGGA
RNAcentral lists this ribosomal RNA (522 nucleotides) under uncultured bacterium. Its description in RNAcentral is "bacterial SSU rRNA". It matches the Rfam family "Bacterial small subunit ribosomal RNA", at positions 777 to 1297 of the family's 1533-position model. The record is from RNAcentral.